Molecule: ribosomal RNA, 253 nt
Filed under: uncultured bacterium
Lineage: Bacteria
Description: partial 16S ribosomal RNA
Rfam family: Bacterial small subunit ribosomal RNA
Source: RNAcentral
UACGUAGGGAGCAAGCGUUGUCCGGAAUCAUUGGGCGUAAAGCGCGCGUAGGUGGCCUCGUAAGUCCGCUGUGAAAGUCAAAGGCUCAACCUUUGAAAGCCGGUGGAUACUGUGGGGCUAGAGUACGGAAGAGGCGAGUGGAAUUCCUGGUGUAGCGGUGGAAUGCGCAGAUAUCAGGAGGAACACCAAUAGCGAAGGCAGCUCGCUGGGACGUUACUUACACUGAGGCGCGAAAGCGUGGGGAGCGAACAGG